RNAcentral lists this ribosomal RNA (145 nucleotides) under Frankia nepalensis. Its description in RNAcentral is "partial 23S ribosomal RNA". Lineage: Bacteria; Bacillati; Actinomycetota; Actinomycetes; Frankiales; Frankiaceae. The record is from RNAcentral.
GGCCGACAGGCGUAGUCGAUGGACAACGGGUUGAUAUUCCCGUACCGGCGCUGGGCGCCAAGCUGAAUCUCGCUGUACUAACCUCCCGCGGGUGGUGGCCUUCGGGUUGCUGCCGGUGGUUGGGAUCUUGGCGGGUAGUAGGCAA